RNAcentral lists this ribosomal RNA (254 nucleotides) under uncultured bacterium. RNAcentral describes it as "partial 16S ribosomal RNA". It matches the Rfam family "Bacterial small subunit ribosomal RNA", at positions 524 to 776 of the family's 1533-position model. The record is from RNAcentral.
UACGAAGGGGGCUAGCGUUGUUCGGAAUCAUUGGGCGUAAAGCGCGUGUAGGCGGUGUGUCGCGUCGGCCGUGAAAACCUGCAGCUUAACUGUGGGCGUGCGGUCGAUACGGGCAUCACUGGAGUUCGGCAGGGGAGACUGGAAUUCCUGGUGUAGCGGUGAAAUGCGCAGAUAUCAGGAGGAACACCGGUGGCGAAGGCGGGUCUCUGGGCCGAUACUGACGCUGAGGCGCGACAGCGUGGGGAGCAAACAGG